Long non-coding RNA from Phyllopteryx taeniolatus (common seadragon), 630 nucleotides. RefSeq lists it as uncharacterized. NCBI's taxonomy places the organism in Eukaryota, Metazoa, Chordata, Actinopteri, Syngnathiformes, Syngnathidae. The transcript has 3 exons. The record is from RefSeq and is a predicted model, not a curated record.
GAUAAGAAUAUUGCAUUUCAAAAGUACACUACUCACAAAAAAGUAAGUCGCACUAAAAAUGGCCUAAAAUGAACUAUAACCUUCACAAGUGAACUUAAAUUGGCCUUCUCUAAACUUUUGAAUGUAUAUGUCCACCUGUUCAACGGCAAGAUUCACAACAGGUGUCCUCGUAGGACUCUUCACCACGCUGUUCAGGUUUUGAUGAAACCGAAAUAUGUGAUGAAAAGACCGUCCCCAUUCCAAGGCUUCAAACCGGAUGUUAUUGGAGGGAAAUGGCCACUGAGCUUGAGUGUCAUCAGUUAAUUGCGAGAGAGAGAGACUGGGAGAGUCACAGAAAGGCUUGACAGCUGGGCGAUGGCAUGCUUUGUGCGCUGAGGAUCCAAAGGCGCGUCGUCCGCUGCGGAGUACGGAGAGUCGACCGCAGGGGGAGUUGGGCCCAACCCGCUCACCUCCGACCGCUCGAUCUGUGGCCACGAGACAAGAAGUGAGAGACUCAGAAGAGGCUUCUGCUUUUCUGCAAAAAGUCAUCUGGAAAGUGAGAAGUGGAGAAGGCUACUUGCGGUCAAUCUUUGGAAAGUCUCAUGAACCUUUCUAUUUUGCAUUUUGACCUUUUCAAUGAAAAGAACGAAG